CGCUGGCGGUAUGCCUAACACAUGCAAGUCGUACGAGAUCUACUUUUUUUCGGAAAGGUAGAUUGCAGUGGCGGACGGGUGAGUAAUGCGUAAGAACUUACCUUUUGGUGGGGGAUAACAGCGGGAAACUGCUGCUAAUACCCCCAUAAUGCUGAGGAGCUAAAAGUGAAAACUGCCAAGAGAGAGGCUUGCGUCUGAUUAGCUAGUUGGUGGGGGUAAAGGCCUCCCAAGGCGACGAUCAGUAGCUGGUCUGAGAGGAUGAUCAGCCACACUGGGACUGAGACACGGCCCAGACUCCUACGGGAGGCAGCAGUGGGGAAUUUUCCACAAUGGGCGAAAGCCUGAUGGAGCAAUACCGCGUGAGGGAUGAAGCAUCGUGGUGUGUAAACCUCUUUUCUUAAGGAAGAAUCAAUGACGGUACUUAAGGAAUAAGCACCGGCUAACUCUGUG
RNAcentral lists this ribosomal RNA (450 nucleotides) under uncultured bacterium. RNAcentral describes it as "bacterial SSU rRNA". It matches the Rfam family "Bacterial small subunit ribosomal RNA", at positions 34 to 507 of the family's 1533-position model. The record is from RNAcentral.